GAUGAACGCUGGCGGCGUGCCUAAUACAUGCGAGUCGAGCGAACAGACGAGGAGCUUGCUCCUCUGACGUUAGCGGCGGACGGGUGAGUAACACGUGGAUAACCUACCUAUAAGACUGGGAUAACUUCGGGAAACCGGAGCUAAUACCGGAUAAUAUAUUGAACCGCAUGGUUCAAUAGUGAAAGACGGUUUUGCUGUCACUUAUAGAUGGAUCCGCGCCGCAUUAGCUAGUUGGUAAGGUAACGGCUUACCAAGGCAACGAUGCGUAGCCGACCUGAGAGGGUGAUCGGCCACACUGGAACUGAGACACGGUCCAGACUCCUACGGGAGGCAGCAGUAGGGAAUCUUCCGCAAUGGGCGAAAGCCUGACGGAGCAACGCCGCGUGAGUGAUGAAGGUCUUCGGAUCGUAAAACUCUGUUAUUAGGGAAGAACAAUUGUGUAAGUAACUAUGCACGUCUUGACGGUACCUAAUCAGAAAGCCACGGCUAACUACGUG
RNAcentral lists this ribosomal RNA (497 nucleotides) under uncultured bacterium. Its description in RNAcentral is "partial 16S ribosomal RNA". It matches the Rfam family "Bacterial small subunit ribosomal RNA", at positions 28 to 507 of the family's 1533-position model. The record is from RNAcentral.